GGAAGUAAAAGUCGUAACACGGUUUCCGUAGGUGAACCUGCGGAAGGAUCAUUAAAGAGAAUAUGCCCUUCGGGGUAGAUCUCCCACCCUUUGUUUAUAUUACCUUUGUUGCUUUGGCAGGCCCGUCUUCGGACCACCGGCUUCGGCUGGUCAGUGCUUGCCAGAGGACCCAAAACUCUUAUUAUUAAUGUCGUCUGAGUACUAUAUAAUAGUUAAAACUUUCAACAACGGAUCUCUUGGUUCUG
RNAcentral lists this unclassified non-coding RNA (245 nucleotides) under plant metagenome. Its description in RNAcentral is "partial contains small subunit ribosomal RNA, internal transcribed spacer 1, and 5.8S ribosomal RNA". The stretch from base 1 to 54 matches the Rfam family "Eukaryotic small subunit ribosomal RNA", at positions 1778 to 1831 of the family's 1831-position model. The record is from RNAcentral.